RNAcentral lists this ribosomal RNA (253 nucleotides) under uncultured bacterium. RNAcentral describes it as "partial 16S ribosomal RNA". It matches the Rfam family "Bacterial small subunit ribosomal RNA", at positions 524 to 776 of the family's 1533-position model. The record is from RNAcentral.
UACGUAGGGUCCGAGCGUUGUCCGGAAUUAUUGGGCGUAAAGGGCUCGUAGGCGGUCUGUUGCGUCGGGAGUGAAAACUUACAGCUUAACUGUGAGCGUGCUUCCGAUACGGGCAGACUUGAGGUAUUCAGGGGAGAACGGAAUUCCUGGUGUAGCGGUGAAAUGCGCAGAUAUCAGGAGGAACACCGGUGGCGAAGGCGGUUCUCUGGGCCGAUACUGACGCUGAGGAGCGAAAGCGUGGGGAGCAAACAGG